Long non-coding RNA from Vidua chalybeata, 4942 nucleotides. RefSeq lists it as uncharacterized. The record is from RefSeq and is a predicted model, not a curated record. The transcript has 5 exons. NCBI's taxonomy places the organism in Eukaryota, Metazoa, Chordata, Aves, Passeriformes, Viduidae.
GGUCCCGAGGCUCUCCGUGGUCGUGAGGCUGGAGCAGCUCUGCUUGCAGCGUCCUUCCCACCGCUCACCUGAGAGGUGCCCUGGCCCUUUAUGAAUGCCAGCCAUUGAAAAAUAAACAAUGCUUUUGGUAUGGCCCUUACUAAUGAAACCUUUAUUACAAUUAUGGCAUUUUUUCUUUUUUUAUUUUUUUUAUUUUUUUUUUUAUCUAAAACAACUCCAUCAGGCAUUGAACUGUAGAGCCAUUGAAAUAAAGACACAUUCAUUUACAGAAAACCUGCUUUUUCCUAUUUGCCCUGUUUUUGCAGCCUCCAUUCACAGUUAGUUCUGUUUCACAAACUCUUGCUUUUUGGCUUAGUCUUACAAUUAAACCUGGUAGCCAAAUGCCUGUUUUCACAUGCCUUGCUACCGUUCACCGAGGAGACGCAAGCAACAAAAAUAGAGACCCAAGAUGUAUAAAAGAAGAGAUGACACAUGUAUUCCCAAUCCUAUGUACACCCCCAGCACCUUGGCACCCAUCCUGUUGGCAAAGGGGCUGGAGAGGGGAGGGCAGCCCCCCGCACCUUGUAAAUAACAAUUAAAUAAAUAAUAAAGAUACUUGCUUAUUAAUGCAAAGGCAUUUCUGCUGGAGAGAGGCAGCCCCAAAGAGCCUCUCCUCCUGAGCCGCUGUCUUCUCCAUCCCCUGCCAUCCUCACCUCUCCCUCAGACCCCACCUGGCCAAACAAAAGCUGUGCACUUUGAGAUGGUUUUCCACCUUGCAUGAGCUUGGGCAAAAGAAUAUUGAUACUAAGAAGCAAUUUACUUUGGGCUGUGCUGUGCCAUCGAUCACGGGGCAGAACUCCCAUUAAAAUCAAUGAUUCUGAAAUGUUCAAUGUGGGUCUGGAGCAUCGAUGGGGAGUUUUGCUUUAAAAAUCAAUGAUGUAAUAUGGCGCUCUGUCAAUAAUUUUUCUGUAUUCCCAUUUCCAAAUAUUUGCAGUCAGUUUUGUGCUUCCUUCUCUGCAUUUGGUGCCUCUUUGUGCUUUUGGAAAGUUCUGGGGGUGAUGCCAGGGCUGUGCCCAGGGCUGGCAGGGGGUUGUACCCCUCUCCAGGACCAUGGGAGGUUCCGGAAACUGUAUGGAGCACACUGCUCCCUGCUUUCAUGCCAAUAUAAUGAUAAUAGUUCUCAUUUCUUUAAUGUGCUGGUGAGAAAUGAUGGGUCCCCACAGGAAAUUCGUAAAAGGUCUCUUGAUAAAAAUAUCUGGCAUUCAGACAAGCCAAGAAGGGUCACUCAGGGUUCGGGGUGACCCUUCUGCCCCGGUGGGCUCUUUGCCAUUAGGAUUAGCGUUGCUGGGCACUGCUUUACCACGGACCCCAGUGACCAGCACAGCUGCUGUACAGCUCCAUAGGAAACAAUAUCAGAAAUUAUUAAUUCCUGCACUUCAUUAACGACCAGUGCAGAGCUCUUCUUUCCCUGUGCAAUUUCUAGUCUGAGCCUAAACAGUCUGUGUGCUCCAGCACGUGGAGAAGGGUCCCUGGAGGCUUUGUUGGGACUGGUGCUGCCCAGCUGCUGCCAGCCCCACAGCUCCCAGAGAGGCUGUGAUCCCACAGCCCUUGCUGGCACUGGGGGCACUCAGUCCUCGCCUGGGGGCACGGCACUGGGACAUCACCCUGCACCACUGUGACUCCGUGAGCACAGGCACUCGAGCUGGACCCUGCUGAGCAAGUGUGAGGAGCGCAGGACUGGCCAGGGCCCCAGGAACAGUGGCUGGGGCAGUUCUGGACAUGGGGCAGCAGGGGGGUGAUCCAAGCCCCACCACAGCCCUAAACAGCCUUUGGAAAAGCAAAGCUGGGAAAUGUGGGAUAAUUCAAAUGAAGGAGAAAGCCACCAGCUCCUUCUCCACCCAGGGGCGUGGGGGAGAACCAUCCUGGCUGGGGGGCCAAUGGAGCUGCGGUGCCACAGUGGGCACCAGGACAUGCCUGGGCUGCUCAGCUUGGGUGUUGUGCAGGAGAUCUCCUUCCUCAUCUCCUAUGUCUGAUCGUAGGUAAAGAAGCUAAGAAAAAUUACCUGUGCCAUUUUAAAUACUGGAUUUUGCAUCUUCUUUCAUUGUUGGGUCAGUUCUCACUCAGAACAGUAGAAAAUGGUUAAAUACUUGCCAGCAUACUCAUAAGAAACCCAGUAAUUUCCCAGGUUCCUUAAUCCUGAGAGAUAAUGGCCAACACUUCCCAACUGUAAGUGACCCUAUUGUUUGUCCUGUCCCCAAACAGUUGGACUUCCUGUGGUGCCAAGGAAGCAUCUGCCCUGUCUGCCUUGGAGUGCUGUUGGUGACGGGAAAAUGGGGACACUACUCCAGCCGUCUGACUGGAGAGUUCACAGCUGUUGGACUGGGAAAGACCAUGCAGUUCCAAGCCCCUGCCGUGGACACCUUCCGCAGCACCAGGUUGCCCCAGUCCCCAUCCAACAUGGCCGACAAGAGAAGCAGCACUACUGUGGUAUCACCAUUUUUGGGGACAGCUCAGCUGGAGCAGCCUGGAACUGGAGCAAGGACAUUGAUGACACUCUGGUCCUGUGUUUGAACCUGUUUUCCCCCUGAUUCUGCCCAUGCAAAAGAGAUUUGGGAAGACCUUGGGAAGGUGUUUUGGUAAGAAAUGUUUAAACUUUGUCUAUGCUGCAACCUCUCCCCUGACCCUCAGUGAGCCCCAGCCCCACCAACAAGUUGCAGUGGAAACAAAGGCAGUUCUUGCUUCAGAUUCUUCAGAGAUAGCAAUAUGUCAGGAGCCCCUGGAGAGGCUGAAAGUAAAUGAAUCAGUGCUAGAAAGUGAAGGAUAUCAUCCGUGCUGAAUGGUGAAAAGGAGUCCUGAACAGUAUCUUCAUUGAUUUUCCUGUAAUUGACACAGAGCUCGGCUCGCCGGAGGCUGCGGCAGGAGCGGGGAGGCCCAGGUACCGCUCCCGCCUCAAUUAGGCAGCUCGGGGCUGGGGGCAGCUCCAGAGGAGCCAGCGGGUCACAGGGUGCUCUGCAAGCUGCCUUGAGGACAAGGGGCAGCUUGGAAAGACGUGUCCCAGGCUGUCAGCAGCUCCCCACCAGUCCUGGCAUAGCCCCAGGUGCACCAAACCCUCAGCCGGUGAGAAACACCGGCCCUAAGUCAGGAAAAUCCAGCAGUGGCAGUGGCAGGAAAUCUGGUUAGCUGAGAUCUGAGGCUCUCCAAGGAGAAAUUGCCUCGUGUGUGAAACCUCUCAGCUGGGUGGUGGGACAGACCCCGCUCUCUGGGCACCCAUGGUGCAGCAGGGGUGGCACUGCAGGAGGGAUGGGUCCCAUCGAGGAGAAGCACGGCCACACCUCACAAAAGGAACCAGGAGCAUCGAUCACUUCACAGCCCAGCGGAAGAGCCACCUGUCAGGUUGGGCAUGUGCUUAGGAAAGUUUCCCAGUUUUGACUUAUUCAUGCAAAAGGAGGCAGGCGGAGUGAAGCCAGACGGGAUGCCGGGGUUGGCAAGGCUCCUGAUGCCCCUUCUGCCAUGGACGGAUGUGUUCUGCCCCCAAAUCCUUCAGCAGCAAGUGCCGGCAGCUCCAGGCAGCGGGACAUGUUCCACGGUGACAUCCCAGCGGCUGGAGCCUCCGUGGCCCCUCGGAGCAGAGCACGCACCUUGGUUUGACUCAGCUCCUCUGGACCCCUCAGAGACAGCCAAGGAGAGCAGCAGAAGGAAUCUGGUGUAGAUGGAGGGUGAUCAUUUCCAGCCUCCAUGUUCAGGAGCAAUUCAUUAUCCAAACCUCCAGUUUGGGAGAAAAAGGUAUUUAAUCUUUUUUAAUCCCUCAGGACUCAGACCUCUGACCUGGAACCUACAACCACCCACAUCCCACGGGACAGGACACAGGCACAGAGGGCUGGUGGUUUGCAACCAGCCCUUCCCUGUAUCCCAGGAAAUGCUGUUCCCUAUAUCCCAGAUAGGCUUUGCUGCCAGCUGCCUCUCCAGGUGGGCUCCAGAUCCACCCUGGAAGGAGGUGACCUGCAGCCUGCCGAGUUCCUGCAUGGUUUGGCUUGGAAAGGACCUUCAAGACCAUCCAGUCCCAACCUCCUGCACGCUGGGAUAUUGGGACAGGCAGGUGUGGAGCUGGAGCUCUCACGAUCUCCCAUCUCACCAUCUCUGCAUGGUUACUCUCUAUUCAGAGAAUAGCUCCCAGCAGCUGCAGAGGGAAUGCAUAAGCUGUCCCUGGCAGGCAGUGUCAGUGGUUCUGAGUCCACGAGUCCCAUUUAUCCUCCUUCCCAGUCCCCCCCAUCGUGUGUCUGACAGAAUUCCAUUAGGGAGCUGCUAUCCUGUGCUGUGUCCCUGCCCAUGGCAGGGGCUGGAAGUGGCUGAGCUUUACGGUCCCUUCCGGCCCAAACCACUCCAGGACCCCAGGAUUCUGUACGCCCCCUCCCACAGCGGUGCUCCAGGAGCAGGUGAUGGCUCUGGACAACUGAAUCCUAGAGAAAAUUGACACUGAAAGGAGCAAUCACAGCAGCGUGGCUGCAGCCCUUCCCAUUUCCCCUGGCAAACCUUCCCCCGGGACUGUGUGCGCCUGACCCUAAACCUUCCCCAUUUUCCAAGCCAAUGCACUUGAUGGGAACUCAUCUCUGCACUCCCCACGGCUUCCCUGGCAUCCCCGGGGUGGGACACGGCCGCUUUCGGCUUGGCUGAAUCCCUGAAUCCAUUUCUCAGAUUGGAUUGGGGCUCUGCUCCGAUUUGUUCCCCUUCCUUCCAGCUCAGCAGACAUCUUCACCUCUGGAACACAGGCGGCUCUGCUCUCCUCAGCAAGACAGGGAUUUCCCUCAGUCUCCGUGUGGAAAGCAGACCUGUGCUGGACAAACACCCGGGAGGGCCAAGGAAACCCCUCUGGCACCCCGGGACCAUCCCACUCCCCAUCCUCUCCCUCCUGCCUCUGCCUCCUCCCACGAGGCCACCAGCAGCACCUUCGCUGCUUGUUCCUGGA